RNAcentral lists this ribosomal RNA (2245 nucleotides) under groundwater metagenome. RNAcentral's name for it is "bacterial LSU rRNA". It matches the Rfam family "Bacterial large subunit ribosomal RNA", at positions 1 to 2029 of the family's 2925-position model. The record is from RNAcentral.
AAAAUCUCGUUAAGGGUAUAUGGUGGAUGCCUUGACUCAAGAAGCCGAUGAAGGACGUAGCAGCCUGCGAUAAGCCUCGGUUAGGUGGCAAGCAACCUUUGAUCCGAGGAUCUCCGAAUGGGGAAACCUGUUCCGAUUAAAUGUCGGAACGUCCGCCAGCUGAACACAUAGGCUGGUGAGACGACUACCCGGUGAACUGAAACAUCUUAGUAGCCGGAGGAAAAGAAAACAACACGAUCUCUAAUCAAAUACUGAAUAGCAAUAUUCACAUUUGAUUAGCGAUUAGCAUUCUCCAAGUAGUGGCGAGCGAACGGGGAACAGUCUAAACCUUUUAAACCGCGUAUAUUGAUCCACUUCGGUGGAAAGAUAUAUUGAAGGAGCUGGGUCCAUAUGUUUAAGAGGGGUUGCAAGAUAGUUAUUAUCACUCCCUAGAAGAGUGAGGCAGAAGUAACACAAAAGUAAUUUACUAGUUGAAGCGAGCUGGAAAGCUCCGCCAGAGCGGGUGAUAGCCCCGUAAGCGAAAGGAAUUAUUAUUCUGCGAUGACAUAUCUUAAGUAAGGCGGGACUCGUGAAAUCCCGUCUGAAGCCGGGUCGACUAUGACCCAAGACUAAAUACUUCUUGAGAUCGAUAGUGAACAAGUACCGUGAGGGAAAGGUGAAAAGCAUCCCGGUAAGGGAGAUGAAAUAGUAUCUGAAACCAUAUACUUACAAAGAGUCGGAGCCUGGAGCAAUCCGGGUGACGGCGUGCCUAUUGAGGAAUGAGCCAACGAGUUUGCUGUAUGUGGCUUGCCUAAAUGCCAAAUGGCAUGGAGGCUAAGUGAAAGCGAGGGUUAAUAGCCCGCAUCUUACUUUUUAGAAAGAAGACUCGCAAGAGCCUACUUUCUAAUUUUUAAGAAGGUCGCAUAUACAAGACCCGAAGCCGUGUGAUCUAGCCAUGACCAGGCUGAACCUCGUCGAAAGACGAGGGGAGGGCCGAACCCACGAGCCGUGCAAAACUCGGGGAGGAGUCGUGGUUAGCGGUGAAAUUCCAAUCGAACUCGGCAAUAGCUGGUUCUCCUCGAAAUAGCUUUUGGGCUAGCCUCGAGUGUUUCUUUCCGGGGGUAGAGCACUGAAUGAGGGCGGGUCGCAAGAUACUGUCCUUAACCAAACUCCGAAUACCGGAAAAUUUAAGCUCGGGAGUCAGACUAUGGGCGCUAAGGUUCAUCAGUCUAAAGGGAAACAGCCCUAAUCGCAAUCUAAGGUCCCUAAAUAUAUGCUAAGUGUAAAAGGUGGUGUCGCGACUGCGACAACUAGGAGGUUGGCUUAGAAGCAGCCAUCCUUUAAAGAAAGCGUAAUAGCUCACUAGUCAAGUUGCCGCGCGCCGAAAAUAUAUCGGGGCUAAGCAUAUUACCGAAGAUGCGGGUUUCCUGCCUUAGGGCAGGGAGCGGUAGAGGAGCGUUCUAAAUUCGCUGAAGCCCAGUCGUGAGGCUAGGUGGAGGAUUUAGAAGCGAGAAUGUUGGCAUGAGUAGCAAAAAGGCAGGCGAAAACCCUGCCCACCGAAAACUUAAGGUUUCCUGGGCAACGCAAAUCGACCCAGGGUUAGUCGGUCCUAAGACGAGGCCCGUGUAGUGCGGGCGUAGCCGAUGGAUGAGCUGGUUAAUAUUCCAGCACUGCCGUAAUCUCCGAUGGGAGGACGCGGUUUAAAAGUUUGAGCGUUUCUAUGGUAUGAACGUUAAUGGUAUUUGAAAUAGGCCCAGGCAAAUCCGGGCCGACAUUUUCGGAUAUUGUUAAAAGACGAAGCCUUUGGCCGAGUCAAUUCAGGCGGAUAAAUCGCCCAGAAAAAUCUCUAGGUCGCCGCAAGGCGAAAAGAUUAUGGCAACCGUACCGCAAACCGACGCAGGUAAGUGAGGCGAGAAGCCUAAGGUGUACGAGAGAACCUUCGUUAAGGAACUCGGCAAAAUAGCGGUCGUAAGUUCGCAAUAAGACCUGCCCACGCAAGUGGGCCGCAGCUAAAGAAUUCAAGUGACUGUUUAACAAAAACACAGCUCCCUGCUAACUCGAAAGAGGAUGUAUAGGGGGUGAUGCCUGGCCAGUGUCCGAACGUUAAGGGGAGAGGUCAUUCCGCCGCAAGGCGGAGGCAGCUUUGAUCCUAAGCGCGGAUGAACGCCGGCCGUAACUAUAACGGUCCUAAGGUAGCGAAAUUCCUUGUCGGGUAAGUUCCGACCUGCACGAAUGGUAUAGCAACAGAACCGCUGUCUCAACGAGA